This 516-nucleotide ribosomal RNA is filed under the name uncultured bacterium. RNAcentral describes it as "partial 16S ribosomal RNA". It matches the Rfam family "Bacterial small subunit ribosomal RNA", at positions 28 to 523 of the family's 1533-position model. The record is from RNAcentral.
GACGAACGCUGGCGGCAUGCCUAAUACAUGCAAGUCGAGCGGAGUUGACGAGAAGCUUGCUUCUCUGAUACUUAGCGGCGGACGGGUGAGUAACACGUAGGCAACCUGCCUUUCAGUUUGGGAUAACUUCCGGAAACGGAUGCUAAUACCGAAUACAUCAUCUUCUGGCAUCAGAGAAUGAGGAAAGACGGCGCAAGCUGUCACUGAGAGAUGGGCCUGCGGCGCAUUAGCUAGUUGGUGGGGUAAUGGCUCACCAAGGCGACGAUGCGUAGCCGCCCUGAGAGGGUGAACGGCCAGACUGGGACUGAGACACGGCCCAGACUCCUACGGGAGGCAGCAGUAGGGAAUCUUCCACAAUGGGCGAAAGCCUGAUGGAGCAAUGCCGCGUGAGUGAUGAAGGUUUUCGGAUCGUAAAGCUCUGUUGCCAGGGAAGAACGUCCGGGUGAGUAACUGCACCCGGAGUGACGGUACCUGAGAAGAAAGCACCGGCUAACUACGUGCCAGCCGCCGCCGUAA